RNAcentral lists this ribosomal RNA (525 nucleotides) under uncultured bacterium. RNAcentral describes it as "partial 16S ribosomal RNA". It matches the Rfam family "Bacterial small subunit ribosomal RNA", at positions 355 to 896 of the family's 1533-position model. The record is from RNAcentral.
UGGGGAAUAUUGCACAAUGGGCGAAAGCCUGAUGCAGCAACGCCGCGUGAGUGAUGAAGGUCUUCGGAUUGUAAAGCUCUGUCUUUUGGGACGAUAAUGACGGUACCAAAGGAGGAAGCCACGGCUAACUACGUGCCAGCAGCCGCGGUAAUACGUAGGUGGCGAGCGUUGUCCGGAUUUACUGGGCGUAAAGGGUGCGUAGGCGGAUGUUUAAGUGAGAUGUGAAAUACCCGGGCUUAACUUGGGUGCUGCAUUUCAAACUGGAUAUCUAGAGUGCAGGAGAGGAGAAUGGAAUUCCUAGUGUAGCGGUGAAAUGCGUAGAGAUUAGGAAGAGCACCAGUGGCGAAGGCGAUUCUCUGGACUGUAACUGACGCUGAGGCACGAAAGCGUGGGUAGCAAACAGGAUUAGAUACCCUGGUAGUCCACGCCGUAAACGAUGAGUACUAGGUGUAGGAGGUAUCGACCCCUUCUGUGCCGCAGUAAACACAUUAAGUACUCCGCCUGGGAAGUACGAUCGCAAGAUUA